GGAUCAAUGAGACUCCCUCAUAAUGCAUUCCUUGGAAAAUCUAAACAAAGUGAUUUAGAACUCCCUUCUGUCGUUCCCAUCGAAUCUGAGGGUCC
Small nucleolar RNA from Manis pentadactyla (Chinese pangolin), 95 nucleotides. RefSeq annotates it as small nucleolar RNA SNORD116. Lineage: Eukaryota; Metazoa; Chordata; Mammalia; Pholidota; Manidae. The record is from RefSeq and is a predicted model, not a curated record. The transcript has a single exon.